This 497-nucleotide ribosomal RNA is filed under the name uncultured bacterium. RNAcentral's name for it is "partial 16S ribosomal RNA". It matches the Rfam family "Bacterial small subunit ribosomal RNA", at positions 28 to 507 of the family's 1533-position model. The record is from RNAcentral.
GAUGAACGCUGGCGGCGUGCCUAACACAUGCAAGUCGAGCGAACAGAUAAGGAGCUUGCUCCUUUGACGUUAGCGGCGGAUGGGUGAGUUACACGUGGAUAACCUACCUAUAAGACUGGGAUAACUUCGGGAAACCGGAGCUAAUACCGGAUAACAUAUUGAACCGCAUGGUUCAAUAGUGAAAGGCGGCUUUGCUGUCACUUAUAGAUGGAUCCGCGCCGUAUUAGCUAGUUGGUAAGGUAACGGCUUACCAAGGCAACGAUACGUAGCCGACCUGAGAGAGUGAUCGGCCACACUGGAACUGAGACACGGUCCAGACUCCUACGGGAGGCAGCAGUAGGGAAUCUUCCGCGAUGGGCGAAAGCCUGACGGAGCAACGCCGCGUGAGUGAUGAAGGUCUUCGGAUCGUAAAACUCUGUUAUCAGGGAAGAACAAAUGUGUAAGUAACUGUGCACAUCUUGACGGUACCUGAUCAGAAAGCCACGGCUAACUACGUG